GUCGACCAGGAGCACACGCCCGCAGAGGGAUGUUGUGGCCUGGCACUGUCCGUCGUGGAGCUCGCGAGGGACUCCUUGUCACGGGCGGGCGCUGCCUGUCACGGCGCUUGCGAGGUCCAGUUUGGGAUCCAUGGAGCCAGAGCGCAGCGGCAGAACUGCGUGACGGCCGUCGCGGUGGGCGAGCACGGCGGCGGCGACUGCAACUGCUGCUGCGGUGACUGACUGCUGUUGUUCCUACUUGCGCGACAACGGUGACUGCAGAUGCUGCUCAUGCAUCUGUUGUUCCUGCGUGCGCGGGGGAGCGGAGACGAUGGCGUUGCGGAGGCGAUGACUGCAUUGGGCCAACUUUUUCGUCUGCACGGACACAAACAAAUGAAAUGGGUUGGUGUGUUGCAGUUGCUCUAACUCCCUGAAAUUUUUCAUUCAUUUGCUUUUAGGAUGUAGGAUGGAGCAUAGUUUGUGCUGUUGAUUGUCAAUUGUACUCCCUCCGUUCUUAAAUAUAAGCCUUCAGUUUGUUAUGUUGAAGAUGCUUUGUACUCCUUCUGUUCCUAAAUAUAUGCCUUCUUAGAGAUUUCAAUAUAGAGUAUAUCUGGAGCAAAAUGAGUGAAUCUACACUCUAAAAUUUGUCUAUAUCCAUCCGUAUGUAGUCCGUAUUGAAAUAUCGAAAAAAAAUUAUUUUUAAAAAUAGAGGGAAUAACAAACAAAAAAGAUCACAUAACAUAAAUUGAUUGAUCAUAAAUUAUUGUUUUUUCUCCUAGGCGGGAUUGGUAGCAAAGUUGUUCUUUUGGACUAUGCAGUUCAUUGGCCAUGGAGGUUUUGAGGCAAAUCUCUAUCAAGCUAUUAAUGUUAGGUUAAGCACUAGCUUUAGUAAAUUCCUGCCCAAGGAUUAUACUUGACACUUACUCUGACCGUAGAACCGGACACGUGCUCCACUGUUUUCACGUUUGAGCAUUGAAAAUGAAAAACAAGUGUUUGGGUAUGUGGUGGAAAUCCCUCUUACGUGAUUUCUAAAAAAGGGUUAAUCAAAGAUUGCAUUCAUGAAUAAUAGAACUACCAAAAUGUGGACAUGCUAAUUUAUUUUUGAGGAACCUAGCGCACCAACAACUAUCACCUGGCCCAUGUCAAACGUUCACCCUAGCAGACUAAUCUGUCAACUACCAAAAUGUGGACAUGCUAAUUUCUGCUUGGUAUUUCAAUGAGCAUAGACGAACAAUAAAUUUAUAUAUUGCAUUAUCUUAACAUUCAAAAUAAUAUUAAUUUCAAAAAUUGUAGGGAUGUGUGUGACUAUUUAUAUUAUUUUAUGCUUUGAUGGAACGGUGAAGAAUUAGUUCAUUCACUUUGCCCAAUGAGUAUUCUCCAUUACACAUUUUAAGACCUCCGACGUGAAUUCUUCGUGCUAAUUACAUAUAUUGCUUGUGCAGGUUGGGUAUGAGUUGAGGAAGGGUUUUUUAGUUAUACUUGUUCAAAUUUCAUGCGAAUGGAGCUAAAGUCAAUAUUCUUAAUAUUGUGCAAGAAUUUCUUAAGCGCAUCAAAUGGAUCUUAAUUUGUAAUUGGUUUUAGUUAGAUAAUCUCUCUAUAUGCAUAAGUCAUCAGAUUGCCUUUUUUUGUUAUCAA
Molecule: long non-coding RNA, 1614 nt
Filed under: Triticum aestivum (bread wheat)
Lineage: Eukaryota; Viridiplantae; Streptophyta; Magnoliopsida; Poales; Poaceae
Description: long non-coding RNA (TAES_LNC008818)
Source: RNAcentral